RNAcentral lists this ribosomal RNA (510 nucleotides) under uncultured bacterium. RNAcentral describes it as "partial 16S ribosomal RNA". It matches the Rfam family "Bacterial small subunit ribosomal RNA", at positions 28 to 507 of the family's 1533-position model. The record is from RNAcentral.
GACGAACGCUGGCGGCGUGCUUAACACAUGCAAGUCGAACGAAGAGCGAUGGAAGCUUGCUUCUAUCAAUCUUAGUGGCGAACGGGUGAGUAACGCGUAAUCAACCUGCCCUUCAGAGGGGGACAACAGUUGGAAACGACUGCUAAUACCGCAUACGAUCUAAUCUCGGCAUCGAGGAUAGAUGAAAGGUGGCCUCUACAUGUAAGCUAUCACUCAAGUAGGGGAGUGCGUCUGAUUAGCUAGUUGGAGGGGUAACGGCCCACCAAGGCGAUGAUCAGUAGCCGGUCUGAGAGGAUGAACGGCCACAUUGGGACUGAGACACGGCCCAGACUCCUACGGGAGGCAGCAGUGGGGAAUCUUCCGCAAUGGACGAAAGGCUGACGGAGCAACGCCGCGUGAGUGAUGACGGCCUUCGGGUUGUAAAGCUCUGUUAAUCGGGACGAAAGGCCUUCUUGCGAACAGUUAGAAGGAUUGACGGUACCGGAAGAGAAAGCCACGGCUAACUACGUG